Molecule: ribosomal RNA, 480 nt
Filed under: uncultured organism
Description: partial 16S ribosomal RNA
Rfam family: Bacterial small subunit ribosomal RNA
Source: RNAcentral
ACGUACACUCCUGCGGGAGGCAGCAGUGGGGAAUAUUGCACAAUGGGCGCAAGCCUGAUGCAGCCAUGCCGCGUGUAUGAAGAAGGCCUUCGGGUUGUAAAGUACUUUCAGCGGGGAGGAAGGCAAUACGGUUAAUAACCGUGUUGAUUGACGUUACCCGCAGAAGAAGCACCGGCUAACUCCGUGCCAGCAGCCGCGGUAAUACGGAGGGUGCAAGCGUUAAUCGGAAUUACUGGGCGUAAAGCGCACGCAGGCGGUCUGUCAAGUCGGAUGUGAAAUCCCCGGGCUCAACCUGGGAACUGCAUUCGAAACUGGCAGGCUUGAGUCUUGUAGAGGGGGGUAGAAUUCCAGGUGUAGCGGUGAAAUGCGUAGAGAUCUGGAGGAAUACCGGUGGCGAAGGCGGCCCCCUGGACAAAGACUGACGCUCAGGUGCGAAAGCGUGGGGAGCAAACAGGAUUAGAAACCCCGGUAGUCCCAUGA